ACGUGAGGCCACCGCCCAAUGGUGGCGCGCGCUCGGUCCUGCCGGCGGCUGGUGCCCCAGGAGCCGGGAGAGGUGGCAGCGGGCACCAUGGCCGAGAGGCUACAGUCCCCAGGCGGCGCCGUGUGCCCAGCCUCCUACCCCGACACCCCCGCGGAGUUCCCCCCGCACUUCCAGGCCGGCGCGAUGCGACGCCGCUUCUGGGGCGUGUUCAACUGCCUGUGCGCCGGCGCGUUUGGGGCGCUGGCCGCCGCCUCCGCCAAGCUGGCCUUCGGCAGCGAGGUGAACAUGGUCUUCUGCAUCUUCGGCAUUAUCGUGAUGGCCACCACCAAUUCUCUCAUGUGGACGUUCUUUAGCCGGGGCCUCAGUUUCUCCAUGUCUUCGGCCAUUGCAUCUGUCACGGUGACUUUUUCAAACAUCCUCAGCUCGGUGUAUGUAUCCUGUGACCCAGCAGUUGACUUUGGAAGAUUUAUGUCACAGAUGUUGUCACCCGCAAGUGCAAAGACGUGUGCGAGGAAGUGACGUAUGAGGUCUGGAACAACUUCAAGGCCCACCCAGAGGCAGCAGUGGCCGCUGAAGAGAAUGACAUCUACUUGGAUGGUUAAGAAAUCAACUCCAAGAAGCGAGGCACCAGGGCGUUCCACAGGCAGGAGGCUGCCCAGCACACCUGGAAGAGGGAUUUGCUUUGUUUUGCAGGAACUAGAAUCGUCCAUUGGGAUUUCUGAAAGCAAUAAUAACAAAAGAGGAACUCAAGUGGCUUUGCCCUUUCUCUGGUUUCCAUAAAGUGGAAGAAUGUCCAGCCGGGACGCAUCAGGGUUUGGGAGAGAUGCGGGCCACUCCCAGUUAAUUUCCAAAAUAGAAGAUGCCCAAAUAGGUAUAAACAUUUUAACGAUCACCAUUUCACGGAGGAGGAAACUGAGGCACAGAACGUGAGCAUCUGUCCCAGGUCACACAGUGAGUGUGUGCACAGGCCCUCCUGGGCGCCCUGCCCGUCUGGACAGGCCACGCCCUCCAUGUGUUCUGCGAUGCUCUGGGGAGCCACACUGGGCGGGGGUGCCAGGCUGGGCUGGCAACCCCUUGUGCCACUGGGGUGGACGCUGAUGCCCACCCCUCACGCGUGCGUCAGAUGGAUGUGCUCGCCAGGAAUUGGUCCGGGAGCUACCAGAGGCGCCUGGCUGGUACCUGUGGGCGGGCAGUGCCCUAGGCUUUACCCGGUGUUCUCCGGGACCCUGAGCACAGGUCGGCAGGAUACCAGGAGGGAGAGGGGAGAGGCCCCGGGAGUGGGGCUCCCAGCACCCCCAGUCGCUGCUCACCCCGCCUGGCAUUUCUGUGCUAAGAGCGUGGGGUCCCCACCCCAGCACGCACUGAAUCCACCUAUGAUCCAGCCCACGACGUGAGAAGAACCUCAGAGUGGACACUCACCGGAGCGAGAUGAGAGAAACUGCAGACCCUGUCGGGUAGGGGCCCGCCCCCUCCCUCCCUUUCCUCCCUCUCCCAGGAAUUUUCCAGCACAAACCCAGUCUCCAGACCCUCCCCGCCCCCAAGACUCGUGGAGGCCCCAACCGCUCGCAGAGACCGAUCCAAGUUGUACACAGGUGUCCACUGCUCCUGAAAUGCAGUAUUUUUCACAAGCAGAUCAGCUGGAGGUGUGCGUACAGGCAGCGUCCUGGACCGGUGCCCUUGCCCCCAGCGGUGGAGGCUGGGAAUCUGCAUUGAAUGAAGGGACGUGCUCCCCUUUGCAGGAAGGCCUCACGUGGGAACGGCCACGGGUGGGGGCUCCCAGGCCGACUUGUGAAUUUGCCGGAUCUGCUGCUUCGGUUCCAUCUUCUACGCUCCAGCCCCUCUCGGCCAAGCAAGUACCGUUUACUCCAGCACCCCUGGGUCCUCCCCAUCCACUGCUCCCCGGGACUAACGCUGCCUUUGGGACCCUGGGGGCCUCCACCUCAGGGUGCAGAAAGAUCAGGUCAGUCAAGGGGAUUCCAACUUUGAGUAGCCUGGGAGAAGAGCAUUUUAAACAAGGUGCCCCUUGGGGGCCCCUGGGUGGCUCAGUCGGUUAAGCGGCUGACUCUUGAUUUUGGCUCAGGUCUUGAUCUCAAGGUUCGCGAGUUUGAGCCCCGCAUCGGGCUCUG
Molecule: RNA transcript, 2126 nt
Organism: Leopardus geoffroyi (Geoffroy's cat)
Lineage: Eukaryota; Metazoa; Chordata; Mammalia; Carnivora; Felidae
Gene: TMEM42
Gene name: transmembrane protein 42
Exons: 5
Source: RefSeq, a predicted model, not a curated record